GACGAACGCUGGCGGCGUGCUUAACACAUGCAAGUCGAGCGGUAAGGCCCUUUCGGGGGUACACGAGCGGCGAACGAGUGAGUAACACGUGGGUGACCUGCCCUCAGCUCUGGGAUAAGCCUGGGAAACUGGGUCUAAUACUGGAUAUGACUCCACGGUGCAUGUCGUGGGGUGGAAAGCCUUGUGCGGCUGAGGAUGGGCCCGCGGCCUAUCAGCUUGUUGGUGGGGUGAUGGCCUACCAAGGCGACGACGGGUAGCCGGCCUGAGAGGGCGACCGGCCACACUGGGACUGAGACACGGCCCAGACUCCUACGGGAGGCAGCAGUGGGGAAUCUUGCGCAACUGGGCGAAAGCCUGACGCAGCGACGCCGCGUGAGGGAUGACGGCCUCGG
Molecule: ribosomal RNA, 392 nt
Filed under: uncultured bacterium
Lineage: Bacteria
Description: bacterial SSU rRNA
Rfam family: Bacterial small subunit ribosomal RNA
Source: RNAcentral